CCCUAGUAUUAUAAUAAAUAAGGUAUUAGUAUAUUGAAAAUUAAUAAUUUUGGCGGUUAAUUUUUAUUUAGAGGAGCUUGUUAUUUAUAGAAUUAGCUCUUUAAAUUUUAGUAUUAGUAUAAUUUAUUCAUCUCCGUUAUUAAAAUUAAUUUAAUAAAUUAUUUUAGUAUAUCAGGUCAAGAUGUAGUUUUUAUUAAGUAUAAUUAGCUACAAUUAUGAAAUGAAUGAAUUUUUGAUAUUGUAUAUUAAUUUUGAAUUUGAAUUUAAUUGUAAUAAUAAUUAGAAAGUUAUUGUGAAUUAAAUAAGUUAAUGUACAUAUUGCCCGUCACUUCUAUGAUAGA
RNAcentral lists this ribosomal RNA (341 nucleotides) under Mischonyx antiquus. RNAcentral's name for it is "partial small subunit ribosomal RNA". The record is from RNAcentral. Lineage: Eukaryota; Metazoa; Arthropoda; Arachnida; Opiliones; Gonyleptidae.